This 649-nucleotide long non-coding RNA is filed under the name Sinocyclocheilus anshuiensis. RNAcentral's name for it is "lncRNA (ENSSANG00000042577.1)". Lineage: Eukaryota; Metazoa; Chordata; Actinopteri; Cypriniformes; Cyprinidae. The record is from RNAcentral.
UUCACUGUUGUACACAGACACUCCUCCUAACUGAAGUACGAGACGCUUUUUAACACUUAAAUUUCACCUGUAGCCUAUAUCAUUAUCAGCCGCAUCCACAUUGAGAAGAAACCUGGAAUCAACUUAUUUACCCUUUACUUGCUAAAUGUAACAAUUGGGAACACGGCAUUGUCAUCUAACCACAACACAAGCCCGGUGAGACCUUUUCGCAACCCGUCUUUCACACGUCGCAGUUCCGGGUCUUUUUGUAGGUUGGGAUAGUGACUAUGGAAGUAUGAGCGACGCGCUGGAGUUGAAGCCCAUUCAAGUUGUCUGUGACAACAAUAACGUCUCGAGUGACCAAACGAUUGAGGUGAUUCCAGGGAAUGGUGCUUGCUCAGGCCACGUCAGUUCAGAGAGAAAUGAAGAGUCCCCUUUGCUAUCAACAACACAGGUUGCUGAGGACAAUAGGGAACAGCACCUCCAUGUGGAUGGAGGCGUCGAUACUGACUCUCUAAGUCAACCCAAGUGGCAGAGGGAGCUGCGGAGAGUCAAGAGAGAACUGAAUGAGGUGGUGGUGUGGAAACUCAAACUAUGGACAUUGAUACUUAUCAUCUUUAUUGCCAUUGCUCUGGUUAUUGGGAUCUCAAUCAUUGUGUGCGCAGGAAAC